This 252-nucleotide ribosomal RNA is filed under the name uncultured bacterium. Its description in RNAcentral is "partial 16S ribosomal RNA". It matches the Rfam family "Bacterial small subunit ribosomal RNA", at positions 524 to 776 of the family's 1533-position model. The record is from RNAcentral.
UACGAAGGGUGCAAGCGUUACUCGGAAUUACUGGCGUAAAGCGCGUGUAGGUGGCGAUGUAAGUCGGGUGUGAAAUCCCUCGGCUCAACCGAGGAAGUGCACUCGAUACUGUGUCGCUUGAGUGUUGGAGGGGAUGGCGGAAUUCCCGGUGUAGAGGUGAAAUUCGUAGAUAUCGGGAGGAACACCUGUGGCGAAGGCGGCCAUCUGGACAACUACUGACACUGAGACGCGAAAGCGUGGGUAGCAAACAGG